CCCUUAGACGUUCUGGGCCGCACGCGCGCUACACUGACACAGGCAACGAGCUUUCCUUUACCGAAAGGUAUGGGUAAUCUUUUGAAACUGUGUCGUGCUGGGGAUAGAUCCUUGCAAUUUUUGAUCUUAAACGAGGAAUUCCUAGUAAGCGCGAGUCAUCAACUCGCGUUGAUUACGUCCCUGCCCUUUGUACACACCGCCCGUCGCUACUACCGAUUGAGUGGCUUAGUGAGGCCUCAGGAUCCGCGCUUAAUGUGUGGAGAAUUUGGACAAACUACGUCAUUUAGAGGAAGUAAAAGUCGUAACA
This 307-nucleotide ribosomal RNA is filed under the name uncultured eukaryote. RNAcentral describes it as "partial 18S ribosomal RNA". It matches the Rfam family "Eukaryotic small subunit ribosomal RNA", at positions 1470 to 1796 of the family's 1831-position model. The record is from RNAcentral.